AGUCGUAACAAGGUCUCCGUUGGUGAACCAGCGGAGGGAUCAUUAGCGAGUUAUAAACUCCCAACCCUCGUGGACAUACCUAUUGUUGCUUCGGCGGCGCGCCGGCAUUCGCUGGCGCCGCCCUCCCCGCUUGCGGGGUUGGCACCCGCCGAAGGCACGCAACCAAAACCUGGCUUCAGCGUCGAAUUCUGAGUGGACUACUAAAUAAGUCAAAACUUUCAGCAACGGAUCUCUUGGUUCUGGCAUCGAUGAAGAACGCAGCGAAAUGCGAUAAGUAAUGUGAAUUGCAGAAUUCAGUGAAUCAUCGAAUCUUUGAACGCACAUUGCGCCCGCUAGUAUUCUGGCGGGCAUGCCUGUUCGAGCGUCCUUUGGGACCCUCGGGCCGGGGCGACAAGCCCCUGGCCCGGUGUUGGGUGGCCGCGGCAGCCGCGCCCCCCUAAAUACAGUGGCGGACCCCUUAGCGGCCCUGGCGCAGUACGCAUCUCGCCUUCGGCAGCUUGGUGGGCCCCGCCCCCCAGCAACUAAAAUUUUAAUAGCUGGACCUCGAAUCAGGUAGGAAUACCCGCUGAACUUAAGCAUAUCAAUAAGCGGAGGAAAAGAAACCAACAGGGAUUGCCCUAGUAACGGCGAGUGAAGCGGCAACAGCUCAAAUUUUAAAUCUGGCCUUGUGCCCGAGUUGUAAUUUGUAGAGGCCCGUUGGGCGCGGUAACUGCUGAGUCCCCUGGAAUGGGGCGCCACAGAGGGUGAGAGCCCCGUACGGCGGUAGUCCAAGCCCAUGUAUCGGUCCCUCGACGAGUCGAGUAGUUUGGGAAUGCUGCUCAAAAUGGGAGGUAAAUUUCUUCUAAAGCUAAAUAUUGGCCAGAGACCGAUAGCGCACAAGUAGAGUGAUCGAAAGAUGAAAAGCACUUUGAAAAGAGGGUUAAAAAGUACGUGAAAUUGCUGAAAGGGAAGCGCCUAUGACCAGACUUGCGCCCGGUUGAUCAUCCAGCGUUCUCGCUGGUGCACUCUGCCGGGCACAGGCCAGCAUCGGCUUCUGCGGGGGCAUAAAAGCUUCGGGGAUGUGGCUCCUCCGGGAGUGUUAUAACCCGUCGCCGAAUACCUUCGCGGGGGCCGAGGACCGCGCAUUGCAAGGAUGCUGGCGUAAUGGUCAUCAGCGACC
This 1159-nucleotide ribosomal RNA is filed under the name uncultured fungus. RNAcentral's name for it is "eukaryotic LSU rRNA". The stretch from base 539 to 1159 matches the Rfam family "Eukaryotic large subunit ribosomal RNA", at positions 1 to 649 of the family's 3401-position model. The record is from RNAcentral. Lineage: Eukaryota; Fungi.